UGGGGAAUAUUGGACAAUGGGCGAAAGCCUGAUCCAGCCAUGCCGCGUGAGUGACGAAGGCCUUAGGGUUGUAAAGCUCUUUUGGCGGGGAAGAUAAUGACGGUACCCGCAGAAUAAGCUCCGGCUAACUUCGUGCCAGCAGCCGCGGUAAUACGAAGGGAGCUAGCGUUGUUCGGAAUCACUGGGCGUAAAGCGCACGUAGGCGGAUUGUUUAGUCAGGGGUGAAAUCCCGGGGCUCAACCUCGGAACUGCCUUUGAUACUGGCAAUCUCGAGUCCGAUAGAGGUGGGUGGAAUUCCUAGUGUAGAGGUGAAAUUCGUAGAUAUUAGGAAGAACACCGGUGGCGAAGGCGGCCCACUGGAUCGGUACUGACGCUGAGGUGCGAAAGCGUGGGGAGCAAACAGGAUUAGAUACCCAGUAGUCCCUGAGCGGGCUGGCAAGGCGCAU
RNAcentral lists this ribosomal RNA (446 nucleotides) under uncultured bacterium. RNAcentral's name for it is "bacterial SSU rRNA". It matches the Rfam family "Bacterial small subunit ribosomal RNA", at positions 355 to 825 of the family's 1533-position model. The record is from RNAcentral.